UUCAUCGCCCCCAUGAAGAAGAUGAUCCUUAACUGGGACACUCCCAUCGUGACCAAACUCCAAAGGAAGAUGGGAGAGAACACAGAGCGGCGGAAGGGAACGGCAUCUAAUGACAGAAGGAGAUUUCCAUUUUUACUUAAGCAUCAGGACCAUUGGGAAGCUUCUCUGUGGAGUGUCGCACGUCUCCAUUUUUCAGUCCCUCUGCUCCAAUCUUCUGGUUCGAUGAAGGCAGCACUUUUGGGGUGUCGGGAAGCCUUCUGCAGGCCAGUUCAAGAAACAGUUGAAAAAGACAAUCCCAGCCAGAACGGCCCACAUCCACAUGAUCACCUGGAAGGAGACGCCUGCGUCGUAGAUCAGCUGGGAAGAAAUAGGAGGGAGACAAGUUAAUUGAAUUUGCUUCUGAAGCGGAAUUAACUGAUAUUAUCACCAUGUUAUUGUCAGAGUACAAUGUUCUGUGAAACUGAAAAUCAAUCAGUUUGGAGAUGGUUCUCUGUGGAUGUGUCACUAAGGAAAACCUCUUUCACAUUAUAUUAGUAAGACCGAUUGUUACAAUUAAUUAGAACAGAUUUAAUACAGAUUUAAUACAGAGUGACUUGAACCAGUGUUUUGUACCAUCUGCGUUUUCUCUGAAAACCAAUCACCUUUUAGCUCCAAUUUCUCAGAAUGCAUGGGAUGUUGACAAAAGACCACAUAAGAUUCGUAAUGUCUAAUUGAAUAAAAUAAUAUAUUUCAAAUAUCAAAUCUUCAAAGGCACUGUCACAUUGUAAUACUGUUGCAUAUUUACAUGGUUUUUUUGAGAGAAGCACAUAGAGUGUGUCGAUAAGUUACCUUGACCCCGGGGAAGGUGACGGCAGACGAGGCGUAGGAGCCGAUCAUCAGAGACAUGACGGUGGAGCUCAGGGCGCCAAACAUGUUGGGGAGCUGCGAGAACAAAGGA
Long non-coding RNA from Scophthalmus maximus (turbot), 937 nucleotides. RefSeq lists it as uncharacterized. NCBI's taxonomy places the organism in Eukaryota, Metazoa, Chordata, Actinopteri, Pleuronectiformes, Scophthalmidae. The transcript has 3 exons. The record is from RefSeq and is a predicted model, not a curated record.